This 205-nucleotide ribosomal RNA is filed under the name uncultured bacterium. Its description in RNAcentral is "partial 16S ribosomal RNA". It matches the Rfam family "Bacterial small subunit ribosomal RNA", at positions 1288 to 1500 of the family's 1533-position model. The record is from RNAcentral.
CUCAUUCGGAUCGGAGUCUGNAACCCGACUCCGUGAAGCUGGAUUCGCUAGUAAUCGCGCAUCAGCCAUGGCGCGGUGAAUACGUUCCCGGGCCUUGUACACACCGCCCGUCAAGCCAUGGAAGCCGGGGGCGCUUGAAGUGCGUUGCCGCAAGGCGCGCCCUAGAGCGAAACCGGUGACUGGGGCUAAGUCGUAACAAGGUACC